This 78-nucleotide transfer RNA is filed under the name Acidimicrobiaceae bacterium. RNAcentral's name for it is "tRNA-Val". It matches the Rfam family "tRNA". From Rfam's summary of the family: Transfer RNA (tRNA) molecules are approximately 80 nucleotides in length. Their secondary structure includes four short double-helical elements and three loops (D, anti-codon, and T loops). Lineage: Bacteria; Bacillati; Actinomycetota; Acidimicrobiia; Acidimicrobiales; Acidimicrobiaceae. The record is from RNAcentral.
GGCCGUUAGCUCAGUUGGUUAGAGCGCCUGCUCGACACGCAGGAGGUCACAAGUUCGACUCUUGUACGGCCCACUCCA